This 840-nucleotide ribosomal RNA is filed under the name uncultured eukaryote. RNAcentral describes it as "SSU rRNA". It matches the Rfam family "Eukaryotic small subunit ribosomal RNA", at positions 635 to 1426 of the family's 1831-position model. The record is from RNAcentral.
CGGUGUUCAACUGGCGUGCCCGCGGGACGUCCUGCCGGUGAGCUCAGCCCGCGAGGGCGGCUCAACUUGAAAUCCCAUCGCGGUGCUCUUCAUUGAGUGUCGAGGUGGGCCGGCACGGAUUACUUUUGAACAAAUUAGAGUGCUUAAAGCAGGCUAAAAUUUUGCCUGAAUACUGUGUAUAUGGAAUAAUGGAAUAGGACCUCGGUUCUAUUUUGUUGGUUUUCGGAACCCCGAGGUAAUGAUUAAUAGGAACGGAUGGGGGCAUUCGUAUUGCGACGUUAGAGGUGAAAUUCUUGGAUCGUCGCAAGACGGACUAAAGCGAAAGCAUUUGCCAAAAACGCUUUCAUUGAUCAAGAACGAAAGUUAGAGGUUCGAAGGCGAUCAGAUACCGCCCUAGUUCUAACCAUAAACUAUGCCAGCUAGCGAUCCGCCGACGUCCCUCUGAUGACUCGGCGGGCAGCUUCCGGGAAACCAAAGCUUUUGGGUUCCGGGGGAAGUAUGGUUGCAAAGCUGAAACUUAAAGGAAUUGACGGAAGGGCACCACCAGGAGUGGAGCCUGCGGCUUAAUUUGACUCAACACGGGAAACCUCACCAGGCCCAGACACUGGAAGGAUUGACAGAUUGAGAGCUCUUUCUUGAUUCAGUGGGUGGUGGUGCAUGGCCGUUCUUAGUCGGUGGAGCGAUUUGUCAGGUUAAUUCCGAUAACGGACGAGACUCUGACCUGAUAACUAGACGCACUUGCGGCAUCUCAAAGGUCCGCCGGCGGCUGGCUUUGCGCCCGUCGUCGCGCGCGAUUUUUACUGCCGGCGUACAAUAAAUUCUUCUUAGAGGGACAAGUGG